GCUCAUUUCUAUUUUAAAUCAGUCCCAACUUUACGCUGGGCACACAGAUGGAGGGGGGGCUUCUGCCUCGCUGUCUUGAGGAAGAGACUCUGAAACAUACAAAGAGUGAUUUGAGCAAAGCCCAGUGGCAGCAGUGAGUACUAUCAGCAGCUAGUAUUUUACCUAAGGCUAGGACGUGAAGAGGAAACGCCUGAUGAGAAUUUUAUACCAGUCGAGGGUUAAGAGAAGAGGCCUGGCAAGCCCAGCUGCAGCCAUUGACCAAAUAGCAAAGCCACACCCCUCCCGCCACCUCCCGGCAUGCGCGGACCGGUGGACCUGCCUGCAGCGUGCCUCGCUGGCUUCCUGGAUGAAGAACGGAACCCCAAGGCUGCACGGCUUGACCAAGGCCCUCAACCGUAAAACAGGGAUAGACACCCCACCCGGGCCUGCUCCCCGGUCACAGCAGGUGCCUGAGACUCUGACCACAUUCAGGAAAACCUGAUGAAAGUUGGUAAAACCUCAGCGUUGUCACCGAUGGUCAGAUUCUCCGAAGUGCCCUGGGAAUCGUUGCACUCGGCCAGAAGGAGGACGCCACCGUUCCUGUGCGUAACUGAUGCUGCAGAGGGUGGACUCUGGGACUCAUACAAGGCUCCUUUCUCCACCUUUGGUCUGAAGCCCACGUGCCUGUGUAGGGCUCUGGCCUCUAUCUGGUUCUUACCUCUGACUUCCUCUUAUUUUUCCCUUCAAGUUUUCCCCUUGCCUGAAUUCCAUCACUUCCUAAUUACAUCCUGCUUUAUGGCAGUGUCUCUAUAAGCUGUGUGUGACCUUUCGGGUUAUGGGAUCAGAUAUUUUCAAAAGCUCAUGUGUAAAUUCUCCAUGGGCAAGCAGAUCUCAAUUGUAAACGUGAAUUAAAUAAAAACGAAUUUAAGCCAGGGCCUCUGGAGGGCAGCCUGCUCCUCCUCAGCUCAGCUGUGCGUCUCACUGCGUCGCGGUGCCUUCCGCUUGUGGCGGAACCUGCCUAGCGUUGGCGCGGAUGCUCCGCAUGAAUAGGACGCAAUGCUGAUUUCGUAGAUGAAGACACUGAAGUUCAGAGAAAUGAAGCUCCUUCUCUGAGUUGCCCAAAAAGGAGGGGAGGGGUCGGGCUGUGAACUCCUUGGGUAAGUCAGGUCUUGCCCCCAUCUGAACCAGAGACUGCCGACGUCCAGCCAAGUUCUGACUUUUCCAUGUGGGACACCUGGGCCAGCCGAGGACAGGCAGCUCCCUCAAGACCCCCUGAGGGUCCCCAGCUCAGGUUCCCCACUCAGAAAUAAGCUGACUUUCUCCAAAUCAACGCUGAGUCCACUCAACCAUCUUUCUCCAGAUGCAAACUAAAACCAAUGCUCACCACAGAAAAUUUGAAAAAGACUAAACGUUUAGAGAAAUGAAAUGAACACUGCCCGUGUGAUGACAGCCCAGGGACAAUUGCCAGCAGCCCCCUGGGGUGGCUCUCCUGAGCGCCUCGUGCUGGCAGCCCUCUGGGGUGGCUCUCCUGAGCGCCUCUCCUGGUGGGUGUUUGCUGUGAGUCAUUGGCGCUGUGCUUUGCUGCCACAGAACCCAUGAAAAGGCACUUCCCCGGCACUCACCUUCUUCCCAUGCACACCUGCUCACGGCUGCGUCUCACGGCAUCCUAGAGGCUCCCUUGCGGGGAGUGACUGGGACUCGCCACUUGGGGAUGGUGCAGAGGUGAGGCCGGCUGGGACCCAGGAAGACCCCAGCCUGGCGGAGGUGAGCAUUUCACAGACAUCAGCUUCAUUCUUCGGUAUAGCGGCUAGGAUUGUCGUCUCUUCUUGUGGAAUAAGUUACUGGGCUUUUAAAAAAAUAAUUAUUUAGGCUGGGCAUGGUGGCUCUACCUAUAAUUAUGGCAAUUUGGGAAGCCAAGGUGGGAGGGUCACUUGAGACCGGGAGUUCAAGACCAGCCUGGGCAACCUAGGGAGACCCCAUCUCUACAAAAAUGUUAAAAAGUCAGGUGUGGCGGCGUGCACCUAUGGUCCCAGCAACUCGGGAGGCUGAGGGGGGAGAACUGCUUGAGCCUGGGAGGUGGAGGUUGCAGUGAGCGGAGAUCGUGCCACUGCAGUCUGGGUGACAUAAUAAUAAUAAUAACAAGAUAAAUUUUAAAUUGUUAUUUGCUAAACAAUGCCCCGGCCUUCCUGUAUGGCGGCUGUCGUCAUCCAGCCUUUGAACACUUCCCUCAGCGUCUGAUGUCUCAGGAGGCCACAGCCCCGGGCAGGCCCGCCGUUCCCAUGUUUUCCCUGCCUCGUUGGCGCCGCCAGGGUCCCUCUGUGUGAGGGAGAUGUUCCGUAAACACAGGGCCAGCAGCCGCAUCCACAGACUCGCAGGGAGAGGCUCGGCACAACGUGGCCCCACAGCAAACUCUCUGAGCAGUUUUAGGGUUCUGGGUCCUGGAGGGGGCUCACCCAGGCACAUUCUCACCAGCAGUGGGUGGGCCGUGGCCCGCCAGCCAGGACCAGCCCUUCCUGAAACCCGGCAAACCUUGUCCUCUCACAAGCCCCCCCCCCGCCUCCCAGCCACGGCCCAUUUCCACGUAUAAAUCAAUUUGUCUCCACUGAGGGGAGAGAAUUGCAAAGCAAACAAAUUAUGCCCGCCCCAUUGAGCCCCAGGCACUCUGGCCCGGGCUUAGAGCGUCGGAAGGGAUUUUUUUUUCCUCCACUUCUCUCAUAAAAUGACCACCCCCCGGCGGGAAGAGACAGAAUGCCGUGUAGCUCCUGGAGAACCACUCCCAAGUUCAUCUCUCCUCAAACGGCCACCUCGGCAAAAACGCAGAGACCCAGCCGUCGCCUGGUAGGGCCUGUGCGUGUCUCUCACGGCUGCUGGAGGAAGCCCCACCAAUGGGGUGCCCUCAAUGGCAGACAUUUAUUUUCACACAGUCCUGCCUGGAGGCCAGAGUCCAAAAUCAAAGUGCUGGCAGGACCACACUCUGGGUCCUCCCCGGCAUCUCACAGGUCCUGGCAUUGCUGGUCAGCCUUAAUGUCCCUCAGCUUGUGGCCUUCCC
This 3028-nucleotide long non-coding RNA is filed under the name Papio anubis (olive baboon). RNAcentral's name for it is "lncRNA (ENSPANG00000046380.1)". The record is from RNAcentral. Lineage: Eukaryota; Metazoa; Chordata; Mammalia; Primates; Cercopithecidae.